AGAAGUCAACGCCACAUCACCCCCGCAGCCUCUCCCUCUUGAGAGGCUGAGCUGCUUAAGCAGUCACCACGUCUGUGAGCCCAGGAUUGCCAAGGUCAAAGAAAAUCAAUCCACAGGCACUUCCUCUGCUUGGGGGCUGACGUCAGCAUGUUAUUCCAGGCCAAUGGAUUUUAAGAACAUGGCCUUAGCUUCCAGCCUACCAGCAGAGACUUCUAAGGGACAGGCCAUGAGUCAUAGUUGUUCUUCAUUCAUGGAAUGCUUGGAAUGAAGUGGACUGUUGCAUGCCAGAGUGGUCAAGGACUGAAGUCAGAGGCUCUGCAAGCAAUUCAGGUGGUAGAGAGAAGGCAGAUGCCAUAAACUUUGCCCUUCUCCUUCACUCAGUUCUUGCUCCCCACCUUUCCAUUAGAUGUCUGAGCCUAACUUGCUCAGUGGAUGGGCAUUUGUUUGCACAUCUGAUUCUUUUCCAGCUCUGCAUGAAGCUGUUGCUUUCUGAUCCUUCUUUCUCUGGACUAAAGGCACCCAAUCAGAAUAUUUUACAUUUGAAAAGAAAUUAUAAGUCUAUAUACCUCCGCCAAUCACUGUGUUCUAAUUCUGCCUCCUUUUUUCCUCCAAUAAAGAUAUAGACAUGCAAACA
This is a long non-coding RNA of Cercocebus atys (sooty mangabey), 634 nucleotides long. RefSeq lists it as uncharacterized. Lineage: Eukaryota; Metazoa; Chordata; Mammalia; Primates; Cercopithecidae. The transcript is spliced from 2 exons. The record is from RefSeq and is a predicted model, not a curated record.